This 460-nucleotide ribosomal RNA is filed under the name uncultured bacterium. RNAcentral's name for it is "partial 16S ribosomal RNA". It matches the Rfam family "Bacterial small subunit ribosomal RNA", at positions 338 to 795 of the family's 1533-position model. The record is from RNAcentral.
CCUACGGGAGGCAGCAGUGAGGAAUAUUGGUCAAUGGACGAGAGUCUGAACCAGCCAAGUAGCGUGAAGGAUGACUGCCCUAUGGUUUGUAAACUUCUUUUAUAUAGGAAUAAAAUGUUCCACGUGUGUGAUUUUGUAUGUACCAUAUGUAUAAGGAUCGGCUCACUCCGUUCCAGCAGCCGCGGUAAUGCGGUGGAUACGAGGGUUAUCCGGUUUUCUUGGGUUUAAAGGGAACGUAGGUGGGUUGUUAAGUCAGUUGUGAAAUUUUGCGGCUCAACCGUAAAAUUGCAGUUGAAACUGGGAGUCUUGAGUACAGUAGAGGUGGGCGGAAUUCGUGGUGUAGCGGUGAAAUGCUUAGAUAUAAGGAAGAACUCCGAUUGCGAAGGCAGCUCACUGGACUGCAACUGACACUGAGGCUCGAAAGUGUGGGUAGCAAACAGGAUUAGAUACCCCAGUAGUC